AUACGGAGGGGGCAAGCGUUAUUCGGAAUCACUGGGCGUAAAGGACGCGUAGGCGGGUUGGCAAGUCAGAUGUGAAAUCCUACAGCUUAACUGUAGAACUGCAUUUGAAACUGCUAACCUAGAGUAUGGGAGGGGGAGAUGGAAUUAGUGGUGUAGGGGUAAAAUCCGUAGAUAUCACUAGGAAUACCGAAAGCGAAGGCGAUCUCCUGGAACAUAACUGACGCUAAGGCGUGAAAGCGUGGGGAGCAAACAGGAUUAGAAACCCCAGUAGUCC
RNAcentral lists this ribosomal RNA (274 nucleotides) under uncultured bacterium. RNAcentral describes it as "partial 16S ribosomal RNA". It matches the Rfam family "Bacterial small subunit ribosomal RNA", at positions 523 to 796 of the family's 1533-position model. The record is from RNAcentral.